This 600-nucleotide ribosomal RNA is filed under the name Vishniacozyma sp. RNAcentral describes it as "partial large subunit ribosomal RNA". It matches the Rfam family "Eukaryotic large subunit ribosomal RNA", at positions 62 to 648 of the family's 3401-position model. Lineage: Eukaryota; Fungi; Basidiomycota; Tremellomycetes; Tremellales; Bulleribasidiaceae. The record is from RNAcentral.
AAACUAACAAGGAUUCCCCUAGUAACGGCGAGUGAACCGGGAUGAGCUCAAAUUUGUAAUCUGGCUCCCUUUGGGUGUCCGAGUUGUAAUCUAUAGAGGCGUUUUCCGCGCCGGACCGCGUCCAAGUCCCUUGGAACAGGGUAUCAAAGAGGGUGACAAUCCCGUACUUGACGCGACGACCGGUGCUAUGUGAUACGCUCUCAACGAGUCGAGUUGUUUGGGAAUGCAGCUCUAAAUGGGUGGUAAAUUCCAUCUAAGGCUAAAUAUUGGCGAGAGACCGAUAGCGAACAAGUACCGUGAGGGAAAGAUGAAAAGCACUUUGGAAAGAGAGUUAAACAGUACGUGAAAUUGUUGAAAGGGAAACGAUUGAAGUCAGUCGUGUGGAAGGUAUUCAGCCGUCUCUGACGGUGUAUUUGCCUUUCACGGGUCAACAUCAGUUUGGACCGAUGGAAAAAGUCGGGAGGAAGGUGGCACCCACUUGUGGGUGUGUUAUAGCCUCUUGAUGCAUACGUCGGUCCAGACUGAGGAACGCAGCUCGCAGCAAUGCCGGGGUUCGCCCACGUCCGAGCUUAGGAUGUUGACAUAAUGGCUUUAAACGAC